This 582-nucleotide ribosomal RNA is filed under the name uncultured eukaryote. Its description in RNAcentral is "SSU rRNA". It matches the Rfam family "Eukaryotic small subunit ribosomal RNA", at positions 132 to 717 of the family's 1831-position model. The record is from RNAcentral.
UUGCUACUUGGAUAACCGUAGUAAUUCUAGAGCUAAUACAUGCAGGAAUUCCCGACUUCGGAAGGGAUGUAUUUAUUAGAUAAGAAACCAAACCGGUCUCCGGUUGUGUGCUGAGUCAUAAUAACUGCUCGAAUCGCACAGCUCUACGCUGGCGAUGGUUCAUUCAAAUUUCUGCCCUAUCAGCUUUCGAUGGUAGGAUAGAGGCCUACCAUGGCGUUAACGGGUAACGGAGAAUUAGGGUUCGAUUCCGGAGAGGGAGCCUGAGAAAUGGCUACCACAUCCAAGGAAGGCAGCAGGCGCGUAAAUUGCCCGAAUCCUGACACAGGGAGGUAGUGACAAGAAAUAACAAUACAGGGCUCUCUGAGUCUUGUAAUUGGAAUGAGUACAAUUUACAUCUCUUCACGAGGAUCAAUUGGAGGGCAAGUCUGGUGCCAGCAGCCGCGGUAAUUCCAGCUCCAAUAGCGUAUAUUAAAGUUGUUGCAGUUAAAACGCUCGUAUUCGGAUUUCGGGGCGGGGCCGCCGGUCUGCCGAUAGGUAUGCACUGUCGGGCGCGUCCUUUUUCCCGGAGACGGCUGCUACUCU